UCUCGUCUUCCCAUCAUUUCAUUUCCAGUUUGACGAUUUUUCGUUCAAAACUUCUUCUGAAUAGUUUCAUUUUUUUAGUUUUGAAGCUUUCUUCCUUCCUUUCCUUAUCUCCUGGCAUUUCCUAGUUUGGUUCGCGCAACUGAUCAUAUCUUCUUUGAUCUUUGGCAUACUCAGGGACCUCCAUUUCUAGGUAAACCUCCUCUUUCCUUCUUAGGGUUUCUGUUGCAAGAAUAUGUGUGAGAUUAUUUGCAGAUCUUGGUGUGUGUUGAAAACUGACGUUAUUGAACUCACUUAUUUUCUGCCGAAUAUCAUGAAUAUAUACCCCUAUCAUUGAUCGAUCUUGACCUUUGGUAUUGUAUUUUUUAAUUACUGCGAGGGAAUCUUAUUCAAAAAUGACUGACUGCCAUCCCCUAUCAACUCCUAUUUGAAUUGCUCUCCAACAAGCUAUUGCUUCAGCAGCAAAUGCAGAGCGCAGCAGAAUAAACGGCUUUGACAAGGGUUGAGUUGUUCUAAUACCCAGGUAAUCCACUGUACGAAAUUCAUACUCUGAUCCAUUAAAAAACCUUGAAAUGAUAAAGCUAUCCAUACAUCUAUUGUGACAGGACACUCUCGAAAAAGAUGGUCCAUUGUUUCAGCUCAUGCUUCACAUUGGGGACAGCUUGUGCUAUUUGAUAGCUUCCUGUGCUGCAUAUUCACAUUUGUAGGCAAAAAGUUUCAUGAUAGUCUCCAUAUUGUAAUUGUUAUUUUUGUUGGUAGAUUCAAGCUCCAAAGUUUUUUAUAAAAUUUUUUAUAGAUAAGUUGUAACACAUAAGCGCUAGGGUUUUCAUUCGAGCUCUGUAAUAGUUUAUAGGUACUUCGGACCGUGAAUUCACCCGACAACUCACCUCCUCAGAUGAUGAAAUCCUCAUGAGGUGUUCGUGCCAGAGGGAUUCGAAGAAUUCUUGCAGCGUCUUCUCCUGUGAAGAUUUUACUACUGUGCAUUCUUGAAGAUCAUGCCCCAUUUUUCCACAGCCAAAACAGAAUUUCAGUAAUUUCUCGUACUUGAAAGGGAUCCAAUAUCUGUUCCCAUUGCUUCUUAAAACAAAUAUUCCCCUACGAAGGGGUUUCUGUACAUUUAAUUUGAUUCUAAGGCGGCAAAACUCACCAUUAACUUCAGAUCUGAGAACACCUCCAAAAGUAACCCCUAUGGCAUGCAAGAGAUCUUUUUUAUCAAAUUCUGGUAAACACGGCCCAAUCUUGAUUCAAAACGGGGAUGAAACUAGUUUGAUCUGAUCUCUUUCCUUUGGUUUAGUCAAUCGAUCAAAGAUGACUAAACUUUUCCUAAACAACCAUGGCUGUCCUUCCAUAAUAGUUUCUAAAUCU
Molecule: long non-coding RNA, 1362 nt
Organism: Gossypium raimondii (Peruvian cotton)
Lineage: Eukaryota; Viridiplantae; Streptophyta; Magnoliopsida; Malvales; Malvaceae
Exons: 3
Source: RefSeq, a predicted model, not a curated record